GACCAUUCUAAUAAUUAUUUUAGAAUUAUGGCCAUACGGACAGCCAGGUCAACUGCCGA
This 59-nucleotide small RNA is filed under the name uncultured Mucispirillum sp. RNAcentral describes it as "Streptococcus sRNA SpF59 (ldcC RNA)". It matches the Rfam family "Streptococcus sRNA SpF59 (ldcC RNA)". The record is from RNAcentral. Lineage: Bacteria; Pseudomonadati; Deferribacterota; Deferribacteres; Deferribacterales; Mucispirillaceae.